UCCAGUUUGUUACUGGCAGUUUCCUUAUAGUUCCCGGCUUUACCCGCUGGCAAAUAAGAAUAGGGGUUGCGCUCGUUGCAGGACUUAACCUAACAUCUCACAACACGAGCUGACGACAGCCAUGCAACACCUGUGUGUGGUCCGGCCGAACCGAAGAAAUCCAUUUCUGGAUCUCGCGACCACCAUGUCAAGAGUUGGUAAGGUUUUUCGCGUGACAUCGAAUUAAACCGCAUGUUCCACCACUUGUGCAGGUCCCCGUCAAUUCCUUUGAGUUUUAAUCUUGCGACCUUACUCCCCAGGCGGAAUGUUUAACGCGUUAGCUACGGCACUGAGAUCAAAGACCCCAACACCUAACAUUCAUCGUUUACAGCGUGGACUAC
RNAcentral lists this unclassified non-coding RNA (380 nucleotides) under uncultured Rickettsiaceae bacterium. RNAcentral's name for it is "contains 16S-23S intergenic spacer region". The record is from RNAcentral. Lineage: Bacteria; Pseudomonadati; Pseudomonadota; Alphaproteobacteria; Rickettsiales; Rickettsiaceae.